This is a non-coding RNA of Anolis sagrei ordinatus, 319 nucleotides long. The record is from RefSeq and is a predicted model, not a curated record. Lineage: Eukaryota; Metazoa; Chordata; Lepidosauria; Squamata; Anolidae.
ACCAAGUCUACAUGUUUACACCAUUGAAUUAACCCACGGAGAGUUUACAUGGCAAGUGAAAAGGAAAUUCAAGCACUUUCAAGAAUUCCACAGGGAACUGCUUAGAUAUAAAGCUUUUAUACGGAUUCCCAUCCCUACAAGAAGGCACACAGUCCGAAGGCAGACUGUCAAAAGGGGAGAAGCACGGCAAAUGCCAAGCUUACCCCGCACCUCUGACAACAUGGUUAGAGAAGAACAUCUCUCCAGCAGAAGGAAACAACUGGAAGACUACUUAACAAAUCUCUUAAAAAUGCCCCUUUAUAGGAACUACCAUGGAACG